Molecule: unclassified non-coding RNA, 363 nt
Filed under: uncultured bacterium
Lineage: Bacteria
Description: contains 16S-23S intergenic spacer region
Source: RNAcentral
UCCCUAUCACUAGGGCAGUCUGAUUAGAAAAAUUCAACUAAUCACAAGGGUUGCGCUCGUUAAAGGACUUAACCUAACAUCUCACGACACGAGCUGACGACGGCCAUGCAACACCUGUCACUUGGCUCAAUAAAGCACUCUCGUCUUUCGACAAAAUUCCAAGGAUUUCAAGCCUGGGUAAGGUUCUUCGUUUAUCGUCGAAUUAAAGAACACGCUCCACCGCUUGUGCGGGUCCCCGUCAAUUCCUUUAUGUUUUAGUCUUGCGACCGUACUCCACAGGCGGGAUACUUAACGCGUUAGCUUCGCUACUGAAGGGGUCGAUACCUCCAACAGCUAGUAUCCAUCGUUUACGGCGUGGACUAC